This 163-nucleotide small RNA is filed under the name uncultured Blautia sp. RNAcentral describes it as "Clostridiales-1 RNA". It matches the Rfam family "Clostridiales-1 RNA". Lineage: Bacteria; Bacillati; Bacillota; Clostridia; Lachnospirales; Lachnospiraceae. The record is from RNAcentral.
AUGCCAGAGUCAAAGGCUAUGAAUCACAAUGUGCUUGCACAAUUGUGAUUUAAUAGCUUUAUGACUCGUCCCGAUAUGAGGAUAAAAGAGGUGUGAAACACCUCGAUAUCCGAAUGACGGGUAGGAUUGUGCAAGUGCGUAGCACGAAACAAUCCGUGGGCAU